RNAcentral lists this ribosomal RNA (254 nucleotides) under uncultured bacterium. Its description in RNAcentral is "partial 16S ribosomal RNA". It matches the Rfam family "Bacterial small subunit ribosomal RNA", at positions 524 to 776 of the family's 1533-position model. The record is from RNAcentral.
UACGUAGGGUGCAAGCGUUGUCCGGAAUUAUUGGGCGUAAAGCGCGUGUAGGCGGCCCGAUAAGUCCGCUGUGAAAGUCCGGGGGCUCAACUCCGGAUCUGCGGUGGGUACGGGCAGACUAGAGUGAUGUAGGGGAGACUGGAAUUCCUGGUGUAGCGGUGAAAUGCGCAGAUAUCAGGAGGAACACCGGUGGCGAAGGCGGGUCUCUGGGCCGAUACUGACGCUGAGGAGCGAAAGCGUGGGGAGCGAACAGG